AGGGGAGUGAAAAAGAACCUGAAACCGUGUACGUACAAGCAGUGGGAGCCCCACCACUAAGCCAGUGGUGAACUCCACAUACGCAUCCUUUGCUGAGGAUACGGUUAACGGAGCGAAAGCGACGUUCAACCUCAAAAGAAGCAGAGGGGGCUUAGUGGUGGGGUGACUGCGUACCUUUUGUAUAAUGGGUCAGCGACUUAUAUUCUGUAGCAAGGUUAACCGCAUAGGGGAGCCGGAGGGAAACCGAGUCUUAAUUGGGCGUUAAGUUGCAGGGUAUAGACCCGAAACCCGGUGAUCUAGCCAUGGGCAGGUUGAAGGUUGGGUAACACUAACUGGAGGACCGAACCGACUAAUGUUGAAAAAUUAGCGGAUGACCUGUGGCUGGGGGUGAAAGGCCAAUCAAACCGGGAGAUAGCUGGUUCUCCCCGAAAGCUAUUUAGGUAGCGCCUCGUGAAUUCAUCUCCGGGGGUAGAGCACUGUUUCGGCUAGGGGGCCAUCCCGGCUUACCAACCCGAUGCAAACUGCGAAUACCGGAGAAUGUUAUCACGGGAGACACACGGCGGGUGCUAACGUCCGUCGUGAAGAGGGAAACAACCCAGACCGCCAGCUAAGGUCCCAAAGUCAUGGUUAAGUGGGAAACGAUGUGGGAAGGCCCAGACAGCCAGGAUGUUGGCUUAGAAGCAGCCAUCAUUUAAAGAAAGCGUAAUAGCUCACUGGUCGAGUCGGCCUGCGCGGAAGAUGUAACGGGGCUAAACCAU
Molecule: ribosomal RNA, 758 nt
Filed under: Salmonella enterica subsp. enterica serovar Mbandaka
Lineage: Bacteria; Pseudomonadati; Pseudomonadota; Gammaproteobacteria; Enterobacterales; Enterobacteriaceae
Description: partial 23S ribosomal RNA
Rfam family: Bacterial large subunit ribosomal RNA
Source: RNAcentral